GGAUCAUCAUAUUGGUUCCUCAGAUACAAAUCUGGGUGUCAAUAGUGGUAUAGUAGAGGAAGAGAAACUGCCUGAAAAAUUAGUCAAGCGGGAAGACCUGAAAGCAGAUGUUAAGGAGUCCAAUGUACAUCAUUCUGUGAGUGUUGAGAUUGAGAAUAAUGAUGAAUCAUCCCCUGACCCCUCUGAGAAAGACAAAAGCUCAUUGCCACAUCCUC
RNAcentral lists this unclassified non-coding RNA (215 nucleotides) under Hevea brasiliensis (rubber tree). Lineage: Eukaryota; Viridiplantae; Streptophyta; Magnoliopsida; Malpighiales; Euphorbiaceae. The record is from RNAcentral.